Molecule: Y RNA, 114 nt
Filed under: Microcebus murinus (gray mouse lemur)
Lineage: Eukaryota; Metazoa; Chordata; Mammalia; Primates; Cheirogaleidae
Description: Y RNA (ENSMICG00000043467.1)
Rfam family: Y RNA
About the family: Y RNAs are components of the Ro ribonucleoprotein particle (Ro RNP), in association with Ro60 and La proteins.
Source: Rfam by way of RNAcentral
GGCUGGUCGAAGGUAGUGAGUUAUCUCACCGUGAUUGUUCACAGUCAGUUACAGAUUGAACUCCUUGUUCUACUACUUUCCCCCCUCCUCACUACUGCACUUGACUAGUCUUUA